AUACUUACCUGGCAGGGGAGAUACCAUGAUCACGAAGGUGGUUUCCCCAGGGCGAGGCUUAUCCAUUGCACUCCGGAUGUGCUGACCCCUGCGAUUUCCCCAAAUGUGGGAAACUCAACUGCAUAAUUUGUGGUAGUGGAGGACUGCAUUUUUGUUCUCCCCUA
Molecule: small nuclear RNA, 164 nt
Organism: Myotis lucifugus (little brown bat)
Lineage: Eukaryota; Metazoa; Chordata; Mammalia; Chiroptera; Vespertilionidae
Gene: U1
Rfam family: U1 spliceosomal RNA
About the family: U1 is a small nuclear RNA (snRNA) component of the spliceosome (involved in pre-mRNA splicing).
Source: Ensembl